CUUGAACAAAUCCACCAGCCUCUGCAAAGAGAACAUGAGAAAUAUCAGGAACCUGUGCAGCAAUCUGAAAAAAAUCUGAGUGAGUCCCGUAAUGAAGACCUGGAAAAAGAUAAAACUUCACAAAACUGCCUGGAGAGAAAUGCGGAACAAGCAGCGGAGAGGUGAAGGAUGGCCCAGGAAGAGAUCCGAAGGCUCACUGAUGAGCUACAAGGGAGGGAGAAAGAACAGAGUAAAUUAGAUUCUGCCCUUGAGAAGGCUCAGCUAGAAAUUGAGAAACUGAAAGAAAAUUUGACAAAACUGAAAGAAAAUGAUUCUGUUGACCUACAGAAAGCAAGGGAACAUAAUCAGAGACUGGAUGAGGAAAUUCUGACUUUAAGAAAUCGAGUUCAAUCACUGGACUCAGAAAAAAAAGUGCUUGAAGAAGUGAUUUCCCUCUUAGAGCCCGAGUUAUCAGUAAUAUAGGAAAACACCAGAGGAACCUGUAUGAAAAGUCAAGAGACAGUGCAAGUACAAGAUUUGAAUGAGAUUUUGAAAAUGAGCCAAGAAAAAAUCGAAAUAUUUGAAAGUGAGUCAUCAGAAGAAAGCAGAAGGCAAUUGACAUCUGAUUUUAAUAUUAUACAGAAGACUUUGAGAGUUGAA
Non-coding RNA from Leptonychotes weddellii (Weddell seal), 639 nucleotides. The record is from RefSeq and is a predicted model, not a curated record. NCBI's taxonomy places the organism in Eukaryota, Metazoa, Chordata, Mammalia, Carnivora, Phocidae.